GCGGGCGUAGCUCAGUGGUAGAGCAUCUGCUUCCCAAGCAGAGGGUCGUGAGUUCGAAUCUCAUCGCCCGCU
RNAcentral lists this transfer RNA (72 nucleotides) under Planctomycetota bacterium. Its description in RNAcentral is "tRNA-Gly". It matches the Rfam family "tRNA". Rfam says of the family: Transfer RNA (tRNA) molecules are approximately 80 nucleotides in length. Their secondary structure includes four short double-helical elements and three loops (D, anti-codon, and T loops). The record is from RNAcentral. RNAcentral also lists the same sequence under 1 other name. Lineage: Bacteria; Pseudomonadati; Planctomycetota.